AUGUCUCACUACCAGGAGCACAAUGUUGAUGACAUGGAGGAUGAUUACGACAUGGAUGAUCCGGUAGAUGACAUGGAUGGUGAAGAUUACCUAGGGCCGGAGGCUAGGGACGACUCUGAUGAGGAGGAUGACGAGGAUGCCGAAGCGAAUAAGGCAUCCGACACAUCAUCUGAAGAAGCAAGACGUGGAAAAGACAUUCAAGGAAUACCAUGGGAUCGCUUGGAACUUACCAGAGAAGGAUACAGGGAGACAAGAUUAUUACAGUACAAAAAUUACGAGAAUGUACCUAAUUCUGCAGAAGCAGCAAUGAAGGCAUGCAAAUCUACUGAGAAAGACGGAACAUAUUAUGAGUUCAGGCGAAAUACUAGAUCAGUAAAAUCUACUAUUCUACACUUUCAGCUGAGAAAUUUAGUAUGGGCUACAUCCAAGCAUGAUGCCUACCUAAUAUCGCAUUACUCGGUGCUACACUGGUCAGCCUUGAGUGGUGUGGACACAGAAAUUAUGAAUGUCGAAGGGCAUAUUGCACCAAGUGAGAAACAUCCAGGAAGUUUAUUAGAAGGGUUUUCUCAGACUCAAGUUAGUACGCUGGCAGUCAAGGAUAAUUUGCUAGUAGCUGGUGGUUUCCAAGGAGAGCUAAUAUGCAAAAACCUGGACCAAGAAGGAAUAAGCUUUUGCUGCAGGACAACAUAUGAUGAUAAUGCAAUCACCAAUGCAGUGGAGAUAUUCAACACCUCUAGUGGUGCUGUUCACUUCAUUGCAUCUAUUAACGACUCCGGUGUAAGAGAAUAUGAUAUGGAAAGAUACCAGUUAUGUAAGCAUUUCCGCUUUGAUUGGCCAGUGAAUCACACGUCUUUGAGCCCUGAUGGGAAGCUUGUUCUCGUUGUCGGGGAUGACCCAGAUGCUUUGCUUAUUGAUGCUAAUUCAGGAAAGGCUAUUCAUUCUAUGAAAGGUCACUUGGAUUUCUCAUUUGCAUCGGCUUGGAGCCCUGAUGGCCGGACAUUUGCCACUGGCAAUCAAGACAGGACAUGCCGGGUUUGGGAUGCCAGAAAUCUCUCGCAGUCUCUCCAUGUCUUGAGGGGUAACCUUGGUGCUAUAAGAUCUAUUCGCUACACAUCAGAUGGUCAGUUCCUGUCGAUGGCGGAGCCGGCAGACUUUGUCCACAUCUUUGAUGUCAAAAGUGAUUAUAACAAGAGGCAAGAGCUGGAUUUCUUUGGUGAGAUAUCUGGCAUGUCUUUCAGCCCUGACACGGACACGCUCUUCGUCGGUGUUUGGGACAGGACCUACGGCAGCCUACUUCAGUAUGGCCGCCUCUAUAACUACUCAUACCUUGACUCGCUGUUCUAA
This 1344-nucleotide ribosomal RNA is filed under the name Triticum aestivum (bread wheat). RNAcentral's name for it is "partial small subunit ribosomal RNA". Lineage: Eukaryota; Viridiplantae; Streptophyta; Magnoliopsida; Poales; Poaceae. The record is from RNAcentral.